This 223-nucleotide ribosomal RNA is filed under the name uncultured bacterium. RNAcentral's name for it is "partial 16S ribosomal RNA". It matches the Rfam family "Bacterial small subunit ribosomal RNA", at positions 116 to 334 of the family's 1533-position model. The record is from RNAcentral.
CGUAGGUAACCUGCCUGGUAGCGGGGGAUAACUAUUGGAAACGAUAGCUAAUACCGCAUAAGAGUAGAUGUUGCAUGACAUUUGCUUAAAAGGUGCAAUUGCAUCACUACCAGAUGGACCUGCGUUGUAUUAGCUAGUUGGUGGGGUAACGGCUCACCAAGGCAACGAUACAUAGCCGACCUGAGAGGGUGAUCGGCCACACUGGGACUGAGACACGGCCCAG